CCUACGGGAGGCUGCAGUGAGGAAUAUUGGUCAAUGGGCGAGAGCCUGAACCAGCCAAGUCGCGUGAGGGAGUACUGCCCUAUGGGUUGUAAACCUCUUUUGUCGGGGAGUAAAAGCAGGACGUGUCCGGCUGUGAGAGUUCCCGAAGAAAAAGCAUCGGCUAACUCCGUGCCAGCAGCCGCGGUAAUUCGGAGGAUGCGAGCGUUAUCCGGUUUUAUUGGGUUUAAAGGGUGCGCAGGCGGAUUUUUAAGUCAGCGGUAAAAUCGUUGGGCUCAAACCCAUCCAGCCGUUGAAACUGGGGGUCUAGAGUGUGCUAGAGGUAUGCGGAAUGCGUGGUGUAGCGGUGAAAUGCAUAGAUAUCACGCAGAACCCCGAUUGCGAAGGCAGCAUACCAGUGCACAACUGACGCUCAGGCACGAAAGCGUGGGUAUCGAACAGGAUUAGAUACCCGGGUAGUC
RNAcentral lists this ribosomal RNA (458 nucleotides) under uncultured bacterium. RNAcentral's name for it is "partial 16S ribosomal RNA". It matches the Rfam family "Bacterial small subunit ribosomal RNA", at positions 338 to 795 of the family's 1533-position model. The record is from RNAcentral.